RNAcentral lists this ribosomal RNA (696 nucleotides) under Alexandrium ostenfeldii. RNAcentral's name for it is "eukaryotic LSU rRNA". It matches the Rfam family "Eukaryotic large subunit ribosomal RNA", at positions 23 to 671 of the family's 3401-position model. The record is from RNAcentral. Lineage: Eukaryota; Dinophyceae; Gonyaulacales; Pyrocystaceae.
ACCCGCUGAAUUUAAGCAUAUAAGUAGGCGGUGGAAAAUGAACCAAAUGGGAUUCCUUAAGUAAUUGCGAAUGAACAAGGAAUUGCUCAGCUUGAAAAUUGGGGCCUUCGGCCUUGAAUUGUAAUUUUGAAAUGUAUUGCCAAUGGAGGCGCAGGUGCAAGCCUAUUGAAAGAAAGCGUCAAUGAGGGUGAGAUUCCUUUUUGUCAUUUGCAGUCCUCCGUGCACGGUGUAUAUUUGACGAGUCACACUCCUCGGCAUUGGAAUGCAAAGUGGGUGGUAAAUUCCAUGUAAAGGAAAAUAUAUUAUUGAGACUGAUAGCAAACAAGUACCAUGAGGGAAAUAUGAAAAGGACUUUGAAAAGAGAAUUAAAAGAGUCUGCAUUUGCUGAACAGAAAGCAAACAGAAUUGAUCUACUUGGUGAGAUUGUUGCGUCCACUUGUGGGCGCAAUGGUUCUUGCCUUGGAUGUCAGCGUCUAUUUCUGCAAAUCAUUACCCUUGCACAUGAAUGGUAAUUUGCCUGUGGGCAUUGGAAUGCAUGUGUUUGCAAUGAUUUGUGUUUUGAUACAUGUGUCUGGCGUUCGUGUGUGUGCCUUCUUGCCAACAGGGGAGGGCUCUCCUCCCUGGGCACUGCAAGCCCUUGCACAGUGUUGCUGGCAAAAUAUUUCUGCUUGACCCGUCUUGAAACACGGACCAAGG